GAUGAACGCUAGCGGCAGGCUUAACACAUGCAAGUCGAGGGGUAGAGGAAGCUUGCUUCCUUGAGACCGGCGCACGGGUGCGUAACGCGUAUACAAUCUACCUUUUACAGAGGGAUAGCCCCAGAGAAAUUUGGAUUAAUACCUCAUAGUAUUUUCGGAUCGCAUGAUUUGAUUAUUAAAGUUCCAACGGUAAAGAUGAGUAUGCGUCCCAUUAGCUAGAUGGUAAGGUAACGGCUUACCAUGGCAAUGAUGGGUAGGGGUCCUGAGAGGGAGAUCCCCCACACUGGUACUGAGACACGGACCAGACUCCUACGGGAGGCAGCAGUGAGGAAUAUUGGACAAUGGGCGCAAGCCUGAUCCAGCCAUGCCGCGUGCAGGAAUAAGGUCCUAUGGAUUGUAAACUGCUUUAUACAGGAAGAAACACACCCUCGUGAGGGUACUUGACGGUACUGUAUGAAGUAAGGACCGGCUAACUCCGUGCCAGCAGCCG
This 490-nucleotide ribosomal RNA is filed under the name uncultured bacterium. Its description in RNAcentral is "bacterial SSU rRNA". It matches the Rfam family "Bacterial small subunit ribosomal RNA", at positions 28 to 517 of the family's 1533-position model. The record is from RNAcentral.